GCGCCCAUAGCUCAAUUGGAUAGAGUGCCGCCCUACGAAGGCGUAGGUUCCCCGUUCAAAUCGGGGUGGGCGCGCCA
RNAcentral lists this transfer RNA (77 nucleotides) under Candidatus Omnitrophota bacterium. RNAcentral describes it as "Candidatus Omnitrophica bacterium tRNA-Arg". It matches the Rfam family "tRNA". Rfam says of the family: Transfer RNA (tRNA) molecules are approximately 80 nucleotides in length. Their secondary structure includes four short double-helical elements and three loops (D, anti-codon, and T loops). Lineage: Bacteria; Pseudomonadati; Candidatus Omnitrophota. The record is from RNAcentral.